Osmerus eperlanus (European smelt) is the source of this 847-nucleotide long non-coding RNA. RefSeq lists it as uncharacterized. NCBI's taxonomy places the organism in Eukaryota, Metazoa, Chordata, Actinopteri, Osmeriformes, Osmeridae. The record is from RefSeq and is a predicted model, not a curated record. The transcript has 4 exons.
UUCGAUAACCCUCUGCAGAGCUCGUCGCGUUCAUUGGAAUCAGGUGUGUUGAAGCAGGGAACCAGCCACACACAGGACAGUGCUCCCUGAGACCAGGCUUGAAGACCAAUUGAUUUAAACAUUUCCAAAGGAGCCUUUUUAUGCCUUGUGGACAAGGUCACAGACUUGUCAGCAGACAGUUAUCCAGACGUUUGGAGGUUGCAGGUCUCUUGCCCUUCCAUGGGGCUUAGCCGGUUAAUCCAAACGCUGUGUGAAGUUUUCUGGGAAGAGUCCUUUAUGGGCAUCAGCUCCUAGCUGUGACCAUUCACUUUCCUUCAUACCCGUCAGCCAACCAGCAUCCUGGGAAACACACGACUAAAUGGUUAUUUGAUAAACUGAUGAUGCCAAGAAGAAUACCACAAUGUCACUUAUUGCAAUCUUGAAUUAUUUACAGUUUCCGUACCUGAUCUUCUGCAAGAGCUGUGGGGACGACUAGAACAAUGUCACCUUUCUUCAGUUCAAGCUCAUCCGAGUUUGCUGCCUCAAAAUCAUGCAGGGUCUCUACCUGCAGGACACCAAGAUACCGAAUUUUGAUUGAAGAGACAAUGAGAAGAGGACACAGCCUAGAACUCUCAAGUAAUAUGCUUGGGAGCAAAGCUAAUGAAUAAUGGGUACACCCAACACCAAAGCAAACAAGUAUGAUGACCAAUGUGGAACAAGAUGUACAUACAUAAACUAACAACAUGAUCAAUGUAAUUCAAAAGCACCAGAUUUGAAAAUACAUUUCAACCAUUCUUACCCACUAGACAUCAUAUAUAUCAAAUAUUACAGUAUGAGCUAAUACCAACCCAUUCCCACACCAUGCCAA